Molecule: ribosomal RNA, 492 nt
Filed under: uncultured bacterium
Lineage: Bacteria
Description: partial 16S ribosomal RNA
Rfam family: Bacterial small subunit ribosomal RNA
Source: RNAcentral
AGUGAACGCUGGCGGUAGGCCUAACACAUGCAAGUCGAACGGCAGCACAGUAAGAGCUUGCUCUUACGGGUGGCGAGUGGCGGACGGGUGCGGAAUACAUCGGAAUCUACUUUUUCGUGGGGGAUAACGUAGGGAAACUUACGCUAAUACCGCAUACGACCUACGGGUGAAAGCAGGGGAUCUUCGGACCUUGCGCGAUUGAAUGAGCCGAUGUCGGAUUAGCUAGUUGGCGGGGUAAAGGCCCACCAAGGCGACGAUCCGUAGCUGGUCUGAGAGGAUGAUCAGCCACACUGGAACUGAGACACGGUCCAGACUCCUACGGGAGGCAGCAGUGGGGAAUAUUGGACAAUGGGAGCAAGCCUGAUCCAGCCAUACCGCGUGGGUGAAGAAGGCCUUCGGGUUGUAAAGCCCUUUUGUUGGGAAAGAAAAGCAGCAGGUUAAUACCCCGCUGUUCUGACGGUACCCAAAGAAUAAGCACCGGCUAACUUCGUG